RNAcentral lists this long non-coding RNA (274 nucleotides) under Mytilus galloprovincialis (Mediterranean mussel). The record is from RNAcentral. Lineage: Eukaryota; Metazoa; Mollusca; Bivalvia; Mytilida; Mytilidae.
UUUGUGUCACAAACAAUAGUAAGCAUCAGGCUUAAAAAAGGGGGGAGCUGCCAAAGACAAUUUUUUUUUGGUAUUUUUUUUAUUCCAAAUUCCUUCAGUACACUUGUCCUUAUUACUUUAAAGAGUAAAAUCCUUUCAUUUCUUCCUAGUAAUCCUAUUUUGGUUAUUGCAGCUUGCUAAUUACUAAAGUUUUAUUCUGGUUACUCAAAAAUGAUAUGAAAUUUAAUGUCAAGUUCAUCAUAUUGAAAAAUCUUAAGUAUUGACAUUCAGAAGU